GACGAACGCUAGCGGCGUGCUUAACACAUGCAAGUCGAACGGUAAGGCCCUUCGGGGUACACGAGUGGCGAACGGGUGAGUAACACGUGGGUGAUCUGCCCUGCACUUCGGGAUAAGCCUGGGAAACUGGGUCUAAUACCGGAUAGGACCACUGCCUGCAUGGGUGGUGGGGGAAAGCUUUUGCGGUGUGGGAUGGGCCCGCGGCCUAUCAGCUUGUUGGUGGGGCGAUGGCCUACCAAGGCGAUGACGGGUAGCCGGCCUGAGAGGGUGACCGGCCACACUGGGACUGAGAUACGGCCCAGACUCCUACGGGAGGCAGCAGUGGGGAAUAUUGCACAAUGGGCGCAAGCCUGAUGCAGCGACGCCGCGUGAGGGAUGACGGCCUUCGGGUUGUAAACCUCUUUCAGCACCGACGAAGCGCAAGUGACGGUAGGUGCAGAAGAAGGACCGGCCAACUACGUGCCAGCCGCCGCCGUAA
RNAcentral lists this ribosomal RNA (478 nucleotides) under uncultured bacterium. RNAcentral describes it as "partial 16S ribosomal RNA". It matches the Rfam family "Bacterial small subunit ribosomal RNA", at positions 28 to 523 of the family's 1533-position model. The record is from RNAcentral.